This 630-nucleotide ribosomal RNA is filed under the name Bacillus sp. FJAT-17479. RNAcentral describes it as "bacterial SSU rRNA". It matches the Rfam family "Bacterial small subunit ribosomal RNA", at positions 61 to 669 of the family's 1533-position model. The record is from RNAcentral. Lineage: Bacteria; Bacillati; Bacillota; Bacilli; Caryophanales; Bacillaceae.
GUCGAGCGGAAUUUUAUUGGUGCUUGCACCUUUAAAAUUUUAGCGGCGGACGGGUGAGUAACACGUGGGUAACCUGCCUUAUAGAUUGGGAUAACUCCGGGAAACCGGGGCUAAUACCGAAUAAUACUUUUAAACACAUGUUUGAAUGUUGAAAGACGGUUUCGGCUGUCACUAUAAAAUGGACCCGCGGCGCAUUAGCUAGUUGGUGAGGUAACGGCUCACCAAGGGAACGAUGCGUAGCCGACCUGAGAGGGUGAUCGGCCACACUGGGACUGAAACACGGCCCAAACUCCUACGGGAGGCAGCAGUAGGGAAUCUUCCACAAUGGACGAAAGUCUGAUGGAGCAACGCCCCGUGAGUGAAAAAGGAUUUCGGUUCGUAAAACUCUGUUGCAAGGGAAGAACAAGUAGCGUAGUAACUGGCGCUACCUUGACGGUACCUUGUUAGAAAGCCACGGCUAACUACGUGCCAGCAGCCGCGGUAAUACGUAGGUGGCAAGCGUUGUCCGGAAUUAUUGGGCGUAAAGCGCGCGCAGGUGGUUCCUUAAGUCUGAUGUGAAAGCCCCCGGCUCAACCGGGGAGGGUCAUUGGAAACUGGGGAACUUGAGUGCAGAAGAGGAUAGUGGAAUUC